CCCACUGGGUGACUGAGACAAACUUGUUUUGCUUCUAUCCAAGAGGAAUGAGAAGAUCAAAUGUAGUUUGGGGAAGGCUGGAGCCAUCAGGAAUGAUAGAGGCGAAAAGUCCAGGCGCCGCGGAGGACUGCUCAGUUAUGGAAGAGAUGGAAUAGCCUUUUAUGAAAUGGAAUGUUCCUUUUUCGCUCUGAGUGGAGAGCUAAACUACCUUUCUCGUGACCAGCGCAGGAUGCUAAAACAUAACCUCUGUCUACGCAUCAGGGGCUAUGCAUUUUCAUGUUUAAAAAAAAGAAUAGGCUCCACCCCCUGAAUAUUUACGCAUUGCUGCUCUAGGCAUUGCACACUAUUUGGAAAUCCUCGACUGGACAGAGACCCUGAUUUUGUACAUGUGGCAGAUUCUGUGGCUCAGACUGCUCAUCCUCCAGUCUGGGCUACGCUGCAGAAAGCAGUAGACAUCCUUUCCAUUUUCUAUUAAAGUGUAAGAGCAAAAGCUCAGGCCACAUGGAGGAGAUGAAUCCCUCUGACACCAGCAACCUGGAGACAGGGUGCGGUCCUUUCCUUGCUUUCCUGGCUGAUUUGCUGUGUGAGUGAUUCUGUAGCUGCCUUUCCACAGCAGAGCUCCUGCGUCCAUCUUCUGGCUUUCGAGGGUGUUGAAAGGAAGAUGAAGAGGCAGCCGCAGCAGGAUGUCUUCCUGAUCUCUCAUGAGUGGACAGCGACAUGGUCUUGUUGGAAUCACUCUACUGGUGGCCUCGGUGUGACAGGACUCCAUAGUCUUCUGGGAGUCAUUCUUGCAAGGCCAGCAGAUAGAUCAUUCUUCUGGUUUCCCCGCGAUUUCGCCCUAGCCACCCUGUCCUUCUCAUCUUAAGGUAGUGAAUUGGCUGUUUCAUUCACUGAAUCCUGACCGGCAGAAGCUUCGGAAAGUCACCCCAACUCAUACAAGCUUUGGAAAACAGGGCUGUGACAUGGAACAGAUGCUUUUGGCUUCCUUCU
Molecule: long non-coding RNA, 990 nt
Organism: Alexandromys fortis (reed vole)
Lineage: Eukaryota; Metazoa; Chordata; Mammalia; Rodentia; Cricetidae
Exons: 3
Source: RefSeq, a predicted model, not a curated record